GACGAACGCUGGCGGCGUGCCUAAUACAUGCAAGUCGAACGCAUUUUCUUUCACCGUAGCUUGCUACACCGAAAGAAAAUGCGUGGCGAACGGGUGAGUAACACGUUGGUAACCUGCCCAUCAGCGGGGGAUAACACUUGGAAACAGGUGCUAAUACCGCAUAAUUCCAUUUACCGCAUGGUAGAUGGGUGAAAGGCGCUUUUGCGUCACUGAUGGAUGGACCCGCGGUGCAUUAGCUAGUUGGUGGGGUAACGGCCUACCAAGGCUGCGAUGCAUAGCCGACCUGAGAGGGUGAUCGGCCACACUGGGACUGAGACACGGCCCAGACUUCUACGGGAGGCAGCAGUAGGGAAUCUUCGGCAAUGGACGCAAGUCUGACCGAGCAACGCCGCGUGAGUGAAGAAGGUUGUCGGAUCGUAAAACUCGGUUGUUAGAGAAGAACAAGGAUGAGAGUGGAAAGUUCAUCCCUUGACGGUAUCUAACCAGAAAGCCACGGCUAACUACGUG
RNAcentral lists this ribosomal RNA (507 nucleotides) under uncultured bacterium. RNAcentral's name for it is "partial 16S ribosomal RNA". It matches the Rfam family "Bacterial small subunit ribosomal RNA", at positions 28 to 507 of the family's 1533-position model. The record is from RNAcentral.